GGUGAACGCUGGCGGCGUGCCUAAUACAUGCAAGUCGAGCGAACAGACGAGGAGCUUGCUCCUCUGACGUUAGCGGCGGACGGGUGAGUAACACGUGGAUAACCUACCUAUAAGACUGGGAUAACUUCGGGAAACCGUAGCUAAUACCGGAUAAUAUAUUGAACCGCAUGGUUCAAUAGUGAAAGACGGUUUUGCUGUCACUUAUAGAUGGAUCCGCGCCGCAUUAGCUAGUUGGUAAGGUAACGGCUUACCAAGGCAACGAUGCAUAGCCGACCUGAGAGGGUGAUCGGCCACACUGGAACUGAGACACGGUCCAGACUCCUACGGGAGGCAGCAGUAGGGAAUCUUCCGCAAUGGGCGAAAGCCUGACGGAGCAACGCCGCGUGAGUGAUGAAGGUCUUCGGAUCGUAAAACUCUGUUAUUAGGGAAGAACAAAUGUGUAAGUAACUGUGCACGUCUUGACGGUACCUAAUCAGAAAGCCACGGCUAACUACGUG
RNAcentral lists this ribosomal RNA (497 nucleotides) under uncultured bacterium. Its description in RNAcentral is "partial 16S ribosomal RNA". It matches the Rfam family "Bacterial small subunit ribosomal RNA", at positions 28 to 507 of the family's 1533-position model. The record is from RNAcentral.